This 2131-nucleotide ribosomal RNA is filed under the name Acinetobacter baumannii 44467_3. RNAcentral's name for it is "bacterial LSU rRNA". It matches the Rfam family "Bacterial large subunit ribosomal RNA", at positions 14 to 2181 of the family's 2925-position model. Lineage: Bacteria; Pseudomonadati; Pseudomonadota; Gammaproteobacteria; Moraxellales; Moraxellaceae. The record is from RNAcentral.
AGUGCAUGUGGUGGAUGCCUUGGCAGUCAGAGGCGAUGAAAGACGUGAUAGCCUGCGAAAAGCUCCGGGGAGGCGGCAAAUAUCCUUUGAUCCGGAGAUGUCUGAAUGGGGGAACCCACCUACUUUAAGGUAGGUAUUGCAACAUGAAUACAUAGUGUUGCAAGGCGAACGAGGGGAAGUGAAACAUCUCAGUACCCUUAGGAAAAGAAAUCAAUUGAGAUUCCCUCAGUAGCGGCGAGCGAACGGGGAUCAGCCCAUUAAGUUAUGUGUGUUUUAGUGGAACGCUCUGGGAAGUGCGAACGUAGAGGGUGAUAUUCCCGUACACGAAAGGGCACACAUAAUGAUGACGAGUAGGGCGAGGCACGUGAAACCUUGUCUGAAUAUGGGGGGACCAUCCUCCAAGGCUAAAUACUCCUGACUGACCGAUAGUGAACCAGUACCGUGAGGGAAAGGCGAAAAGAACCCCUGUGAGGGGAGUGAAAUAGAUCCUGAAACCGCAUGCAUACAAGCAGUGGGAGCACCUUCGUGGUGUGACUGCGUACCUUUUGUAUAAUGGGUCAGCGACUUAUAUUCAGUAGCGAGGUUAACCGUAUAGGGGAGCCGUAGAGAAAUCGAGUCUUAAUAGGGCGUUUAGUUGCUGGGUAUAGACCCGAAACCAGGCGAUCUAUCCAUGAGCAGGUUGAAGGUUGGGUAACACUAACUGGAGGACCGAACCCACUGUCGUUGAAAAGCCAGGGGAUGACUUGUGGAUAGGGGUGAAAGGCUAAUCAAGCCUGGUGAUAGCUGGUUCUCCCCGAAAGCUAUUUAGGUAGCGCCUCGGACGAAUACCAUAGGGGGUAGAGCACUGUUUCGGCUAGGGGGUCAUCCCGACUUACCAAACCGAUGCAAACUCCGAAUACCUAUGAGUACUAUCCGGGAGACAGACUGCGGGUGCUAACGUCCGUAGUCAAGAGGAAAACAAUCCAGACCGCCAGCUAAGGCCCCAAAAUCAUAGUUAAGUGGGAAACGAUGUGGGAAGGCAUAGACAGCUAGGAGGUUGGCUUAGAAGCAGCCACCCUUUAAAGAAAGCGUAAUAGCUCACUAGUCGAGUCGGCCUGCGCGGAAGAUGUAACGGGGCUAAAACUAUGUGCCGAAGCUGCGGAUGUAUACUUUGUAUACGUGGUAGGGGAGCGUUCUGUAAGCCGAUGAAGGUGUGUUGAGAAGCAUGCUGGAGGUAUCAGAAGUGCGAAUGCUGACGUGAGUAACGACAAAACGGGUGAAAAACCCGUUCGCCGAAAGACCAAGGGUUCCAGUCCAACGUUAAUCGGGGCUGGGUGAGUCGACCCCUAAGGCGAGGCCGAAAGGCGUAGUCGAUGGGAAAAUGGUUAAUAUUCCAUUACUUCUGUGUAAUGCGAUGAGAGGACGGAGAAGGCUAAAUCAGCCUGGCGUUGGUUGUCCAGGUGAAAGGAUGUAGGCAUGUAUCUUAGGCAAAUCCGGGGUACUCUAUGCUGAGAUCUGAUAGCAAGCUGUACUUGUACAGCGAAGUGGUUGAUGCCAUGCUUCCAGGAAAAGUCUCUAAGCUUCAGUUACACAGGAAUCGUACCCGAAACCGACACAGGUGGUCAGGUCGAGUAGACCAAGGCGCUUGAGAGAACUCUGCUGAAGGAACUAGGCAAAAUGGUACCGUAACUUCGGGAGAAGGUACGCUGUUGUUGGUGAUGGAACUCGCUUCCUGAGCUGACGACAGCCGCAGAAAACAGGCCGCUGCAACUGUUUAUUAAAAACAUAGCACUCUGCAAACACGAAAGUGGACGUAUAGGGUGUGAUGCCUGCCCGGUGCUGGAAGGUUAAUUGAUGGGGUUAGCGUAAGCGAAGCUCUUGAUCGAAGCCCCAGUAAACGGCGGCCGUAACUAUAACGGUCCUAAGGUAGCGAAAUUCCUUGUCGGGUAAGUUCCGACCUGCACGAAUGGCAUAAUGAUGGCGGCGCUGUCUCCAGCAGAGGCUCAGUGAAAUCGAAAUCGCUGUGAAGAUGCAGUGUACCCGCGGCUAGACGGAAAGACCCCGUGAACCUUUACUGCAGCUUGACACUGAACUUUGACCUUACUUGUGUAGGAUAGGUGGGAGGCUUUGAAGCUGGAACGCUAGUUCCAGU